GUCUACGGCCAUGCCACCCUGAAUAAGCCCGAUCCCGUCUGAUCUCGGAAGCUAAGCAGGGUUAGUACUUGGAUGGGAGACCACCUAGGAAGACAGGGUGCUGUAGACG
Molecule: ribosomal RNA, 109 nt
Filed under: Pteropus alecto (black flying fox)
Lineage: Eukaryota; Metazoa; Chordata; Mammalia; Chiroptera; Pteropodidae
Source: RNAcentral